CAGGAAACAUCACUAAUUAUUUUAUUUUUUAACAGAUUGCAAGCACAAACAAGACUGUGCAACCGAAACUAGAACUGCUACUGUCAAAACAGGACCCUGUUUUUUUUAUUAAAAAAAAACAAAUGCCACCACAACAAAAACAGUGGUUAUUCCUUAUGACGGAAGUCAGUGGACUUUGCCCACCUGGUUGCUGCAGCUAAACAGCCCAGACAAAAGACCAGAAACUGGAAGUCCCCACCUGGAGAAGUCUUCAGGAUGCUUUUGCCGUGUUCCAGAGUGGGCUAGGAAACCAACCGUUGGCAGAUGUUGCGCCCGGUGCAGCCGGCACCCCCUGCACCCCCCACGCUACGCCACUGCCUUGCAGCCCCCAAGCAACUUUCAUGCCUGAAAGGGGAUUCGAACUCAGAACUUCAUCUGAGCUCAAGGAUAGCCAAUCUAGAGUCCUACAGAUGUUAUUGCACUCUAGUUCCGAUCAACCUUAGCGAGCAUGUCCAAUGG
Podarcis muralis (Common wall lizard) is the source of this 498-nucleotide non-coding RNA. Lineage: Eukaryota; Metazoa; Chordata; Lepidosauria; Squamata; Lacertidae. The record is from RefSeq and is a predicted model, not a curated record.